CAAGUCGAACGAGAAGCCAGGCUUUCGGCCUGGUGGAAAGUGGCAGACGGGUGAGGAACACGUGGGAAUCUGCCCAAUGGUACGGAAUAACUUCGGGAAAGCGGAGCUAAUGCCGUAUAAGCCCUUCGGGGGAAAGAUUUAUCGCCAUUGGAUGAGCCCGCGUCGGAUUAGCUUGUUGGUAGGGUAACGGCCUACCAAGGCGACGAUCCGUAGCUGGUCUGAGAGGAUGAUCAGCCACACUGGGACUGAGACACGGCCCAGACUCCUACGGGAGGCAGCAGUGGGGAAUAUUGCACAAUGGGCGCAAGCCUGAUGCAGCCAUGCCGCGUGAGUGAAGAAGGCCUUAGGGUUGUAAAACUCUUUCACCGGUGAAGAUAAUGACGGUAGCCGGAGAAGAAGCCCCGGCCAACUCCGUGCCAGCAGCCGCGGUAAUACGGAGGGGGCUAGCAUUGUUCGGAAUUACUGGGCGUAAAGCGCACGUAGGCGGACUGAUAAGUUGGGGGGUGAAAUCCCCAAGGCUCAACCUUGGGAACUGCCCUCGAAACUGUCAGUCUUGAGUCCGGAAGAGGUGAGUGGAAUUCCUAGUGGUAGAAGGUGAAAUUCGUAGAUAUUUAAGGAAGAAACNACCAGUGGCGAAAGGCGGC
Molecule: ribosomal RNA, 644 nt
Filed under: uncultured bacterium
Lineage: Bacteria
Description: bacterial SSU rRNA
Rfam family: Bacterial small subunit ribosomal RNA
Source: RNAcentral